AUUCGCACUCGCUAAAUUUGCAUUCGCACUCGCUAAAUUUGCAUUCGCACUCGCUAAAUUUCCACCACCCCCCUUAAUUUAGCGAGUGCGAAUGUAAAUUUAGCGAGUGCGAAUGCAAAUUUAGCGAGUGCGAAUGCAAAUUUAGCGAGUGCGAAU
Molecule: microRNA precursor, 156 nt
Filed under: Paramuricea clavata
Lineage: Eukaryota; Metazoa; Cnidaria; Anthozoa; Malacalcyonacea; Plexauridae
Source: RNAcentral